CGGGUGAGUAACGCGUGAGGAACCUGCCUCAAAGAGGGGGGACAACAGUUGGAAACGACUGCUAAUACCGCAUAAGCCCACGGCUCGGCAUCGAGCAGAGGGAAAAGGAGCAAUCCGCUUUGAGAUGGCCUCGCGUCCGAUUAGCUAGUUGGUGAGGUAAUGGCCCACCAAGGCGACGAUCGGUAGCCGGACUGAGAGGUUGAACGGCCACAUUGGGACUGAGACACGGCCCAG
RNAcentral lists this ribosomal RNA (234 nucleotides) under uncultured bacterium. RNAcentral describes it as "partial 16S ribosomal RNA". It matches the Rfam family "Bacterial small subunit ribosomal RNA", at positions 103 to 334 of the family's 1533-position model. The record is from RNAcentral.